Molecule: ribosomal RNA, 253 nt
Filed under: uncultured bacterium
Lineage: Bacteria
Description: partial 16S ribosomal RNA
Rfam family: Bacterial small subunit ribosomal RNA
Source: RNAcentral
UACGUAGGUGGCAAGCGUUAUCCGGAAUUACUGGGCGUAAAGCGCACGCAGGCGGUCUUUUAAGUUUGACGUGAAAGCUCCCGGCUUAACUGGGAGAGGUCGUUGAAUACUGGAAGACUUGAGGCAAUGAGAGGGGUGUAGAAUUCCUGGUGUAGUGGUGGAAUGCAUAGAUAUCAGGAGGAAUACCAGUGGCGAAAGCGGCACCCUAGCGUUGUUCUGACGCUCAUGUGCGAAAGCGUGGGGAGCGAACGGG